CCUACGGGCGGCUGCAGUGAGGAAUAUUGGUCAAUGGGCGCAAGCCUGAACCAGCCAUGCAGCGUGCAGGAUGACUGCUCUACGAGUUGUAAACUGCUUUUGUACAGGGAUAAAAUGAGGCACGUGUGCCUUUUUGAAUGUACUUUAUGAAUAAGGAUCGGCUAACUCCGUGCCAGCAGCCGCGGUAAUACGGAGGAUCCGAGCGUUAUCCGGAUUUAUUGGGUUUAAAGGGAGCGUAGAUGGGUUGUUAAGUCAGCUGUGAAAGUUUGCGGCUCAACCGUAAAAUUGCAAUUGAUACUGGCAGUCUUGAGUACAGUUGAGGUAGGCGGAAUUCGUGGUGUAGCGGUGAAAUGCUUAGAUAUCACGAAGAACUCCGAUUGCGAAGGCAGCUUACUAAACUGCCACUGACAUUGAUGCUCGAAAGCGUGGGGAUCAAACAGGAUUAGAUACCCUAGUAGUC
Molecule: ribosomal RNA, 460 nt
Filed under: uncultured bacterium
Lineage: Bacteria
Description: partial 16S ribosomal RNA
Rfam family: Bacterial small subunit ribosomal RNA
Source: RNAcentral